Long non-coding RNA from Equus quagga, 1166 nucleotides. RefSeq lists it as uncharacterized. The transcript has 2 exons. The record is from RefSeq and is a predicted model, not a curated record. NCBI's taxonomy places the organism in Eukaryota, Metazoa, Chordata, Mammalia, Perissodactyla, Equidae.
CUCGCGCUGCCUGUGGACUCUCAGAGCGACCCCCCAGUGCCUGUGGCUGUACAGAGCCACCUCCCAGUCCCUCUAGCUUCCCAGAGCCAGCUCCAGAAUCUUUCUCAGGCCUCUCAAACUCAGCCUCCACCUGUGCAGGUUUCCCAAGCCCAGGCUGGGGCCACCCUGCUCUCUUUGAUUCAGCUUCUGCCCACCCAGCCUUUUCAGACCCAGCCUAUGGACUUGCAGGUCGGCCCAGCUGUUCAUGACUGGCAGGCCCUGGAUCACACCCAGCAGGCCCCCCAGAGCCGCUCUUGGGUUCAAGAGAUUGCUCCAGGCCAGGCUUCAUCUGCCCAGGAGUUUCAUAAGCAGCCGGGGGCUCAGGCUUUUGAGAGUCUGCCACCAGCCAGCCAGAAGCUAAGUCAAGAUCACCCUGACCCCACAUCCCCACUCCCAGAGGCCCCAGUUCCAGCCACUCAGGCCCAGCAGUCAGUGCCCCCCGAGAGUGCGCCCACCCCAGCCUCGGAGAAGAAAAGUCACCCCCUCUAGCACAGAACCAGACCCCAGCCAUCCGAGUGGCUGCUCAGGCCUCUGCCAAAACUCACCAAAGUGUCUGCAGCUUUAAGUGCCAACUUUAUAAGAGCACAAAUGCUUACCUUAAUCUUGUUUUGGAAACGUCCAUCUGGAGACCUGACCUUUCUCAGACCAACAGACUUACCGGACUCCCUCUGCCAAGGAUCCAUGUUGCAGUGUUGAAGAGAGUUUUCCAGCUUCAGAUAGUGAAGUUAGUUAUUGCCAGGAUGGCGAGCCAUAAUAAACUGUGCAAUUCCAACGAACUUUGUUUUAGAAUAAGUUGGUUUUUUAAAUAGACUUCUCUUGUGAAAGGGUGCCAGCAUUCCAAAUGGAAAAUAAUGUCUCCAGUACUCUGGGUGAAGAUGUCAGUAUGUACAGUUCCCAGAGAAAUGGGCACUGAAAAAUGCAACAACUUUUAUUUAAGGUAACUUUGUGACCUCAUUAGCUAUCAGAAAGGUUAGCACAAUGAAUGCAUUAUAACAUGCUACAAUUUAUAUUUUUUAUAUCUUCACUUGAUUUAAGUAACAUCUGAAUUUCCCUUUUUCCCAAGGAUUUAAAAUCUAAUUUGACUGUGUAUUUUAAUGAGAAUCAAAUAAAAUUCUUUUGGGACUGCG